GACGAACGCUGGCGGCGUGCUUAACACAUGCAAGUCGAACGGAAAGGCCUGCUUUCCCUUGUGGAUUGCGGGUACUCGAGUGGCGAACGGGUGAGUAACACGUGAGUGAUCUGCCCCCAACUUGGGUAUAAGCCUGGGAAACUGGGUCUAAUUCCCGAUAGGACUGCAGGGUGGUGCCUGUGGUGGAAAACGAUUUUCUAGUGGUUGGGGAUGAGCUCUCGGCCUAUCAGCUUGUUGGUGGGGUAAUGGCCUACCAAGGCGGCGACGGGGAGCCGGACUGAGAGGGUGGACGGCCCCAUUGGGACUGAGAUACGGCCCAGACUCCUACGGGAGGCAGCAGUGGGGGAUAUAGCACAAUGGGCGGAAGCCUGAUGCAGCGACGCCGCGUGGGGGAUGACGGGGUUCGGGUUGUACUCUCCUUUCGACCGCGAGGAAGCCACCUGGUUGGAAGGGUGGUGACGGUAGUGGUAGAAGAAGCACCGGCUAACUACGUG
This 494-nucleotide ribosomal RNA is filed under the name uncultured bacterium. Its description in RNAcentral is "partial 16S ribosomal RNA". It matches the Rfam family "Bacterial small subunit ribosomal RNA", at positions 28 to 507 of the family's 1533-position model. The record is from RNAcentral.